AGCAGCCGCGGUAAUUCCAGCUCCAAUAGCGUAUAUUAAAGUUGUUGCAGUUAAAAAGCUCGUAGUUGAAUUUCGGGAUCAAUAUAUCGGUCGUGCCUUGGUACGUACUGGUAUCAUUGGUUUCUCCUUUCUGAAGAACCUUGAUGUCAUUAAUUUGGUGUCUUGGGGAAUCAGGACUGUUACUUUGAAAAAAUUAGAGUGUUUAAAGCAAGCUCACGCUUGAAUACAUUAGCAUGGAAUAAUGAAAUAGGACGUUUGAUUCUAUUUUGUUGGUUUUCUAGGAUCGACGUAAUGAUUAAUAGGGAUAGUUGGGGGCAUUAGUAUUCAAUUGUCAGAGGUGAAAUUCUUGGAUUUAUUGAAGACUAACUACUGCGAAAGCAUUUGCCAAGGAUGUUUUCAUUAAUCAAGAACGAAAGUUAGGGGAUCGAAGACGAUCAGAUACCGUCGUAGUCUUAACCAUAAACUAUGCCGACUAGGGAUCGGAUGAUGUUAAUUUUUAAUGUACUCAUUCGGCGCCUUA
RNAcentral lists this ribosomal RNA (520 nucleotides) under uncultured Glomus. Its description in RNAcentral is "SSU rRNA". It matches the Rfam family "Eukaryotic small subunit ribosomal RNA", at positions 569 to 1090 of the family's 1831-position model. Lineage: Eukaryota; Fungi; Glomeromycota; Glomeromycetes; Glomerales; Glomeraceae. The record is from RNAcentral.